AUACGUAGGUGACGAGCGUUAUCCGGAUUUACUGGGCGUAAAGGGCGUGUAGGCGGUCUUGCAAGUCAGAAGUGAAAUUCCUGAGCUCAACUCGGGCGCUGCUUCUGAAACUGCAGGACUUGAGUGCUGGAGGGGAUAGCGGAAUUCCUAGUGGAGCGGUAAAAUGCGCAGAUAUGAGGAAGAACACCGUUGGCGAAGGCGGCUAUCUGGACAGUAACUGACGCUGAGGCGCGAACGCGUGGGGAGCGAACAGGAUUAGAUACCCUGGUAGUCCACGCUGUAAACGAUGAAUGCUAGGUGUAGGGGGUAUCGACCCCUCCUGUGCCGGAGUAAACGCAAGAAGCAUUCCGCCUGGGGAGUACGGCCGCAAGGUUGAAACUCAAAUAAAAUGCCGGGG
RNAcentral lists this ribosomal RNA (397 nucleotides) under uncultured bacterium. RNAcentral describes it as "partial 16S ribosomal RNA". It matches the Rfam family "Bacterial small subunit ribosomal RNA", at positions 523 to 918 of the family's 1533-position model. The record is from RNAcentral.